UACGUAGGGGGCUAGCGUUGUCCGGAUUUAUUGGGCGUAAAGAGCGUGUAGGCGGCCAGGUAGGUCUGCUGUGAAAACUCGAGGCUCAACCUCGAGACGUCGGCGGAAACCGUCUGGCUAGAGUCCGGAAGAGGAGAGUGGAAUUCCUGGUGUAGCGGUGAAAUGCGCAGAUAUCAGGAAGAACACCCGUGGCGAAGGCGGCUCUCUGGGACGGUACUGACGCUGAGACGCGAAAGCGUGGGGAGCGAACAGG
This 253-nucleotide ribosomal RNA is filed under the name uncultured bacterium. RNAcentral's name for it is "partial 16S ribosomal RNA". It matches the Rfam family "Bacterial small subunit ribosomal RNA", at positions 524 to 776 of the family's 1533-position model. The record is from RNAcentral.